CGUAGGUAACCUGCCUGGUAGCGGGGGAUAACUAUUGGAAACGAUAGCUAAUACCGCAUAAGAGUAGAUGUUGCAUGACAUUUGCUUAAAAGGUGCAAUUGCAUCACUACCAGAUGGACCUGCGUUGUAUUAGCUAGUUGUGGGGUAACGGCUCACCAAGGCGACGAUACAUAGCCGACCUGAGAGGGUGAUCGGCCACACUGGGACUGAGACACGGCCCAG
This 222-nucleotide ribosomal RNA is filed under the name uncultured bacterium. Its description in RNAcentral is "partial 16S ribosomal RNA". It matches the Rfam family "Bacterial small subunit ribosomal RNA", at positions 116 to 334 of the family's 1533-position model. The record is from RNAcentral.